UCCCGAACCGGGCAGUCUCAGUAGAAAAGGCAACUACUGAUGGGGGUUGCGCUCGUUGCGGGACUUAACCCAACACCUCACGGCACGAGCUGACGACAGCCAUGCAGCAUCUGUGCACGCUCCCUUGCGGGUCCCUCCCCUUUCAGGUCAGUACCACGUGCAUGUCAAGCCUAGGUAAGGUUCUGCGCGUUGCAUCGAAUUAAACCACACGCUCCGCUGCUUGUGCGGGUCCCCGUCAAUUCCUUUGAGUUUUAGCCUUGCGGCCGUAGUCCCCAGGCGGCGAACUUAACGCGUUAGCUCCGGCGCCGAGGGGGUCGAUACCCCCGACACCUAGUUCGCAUCGUUUACGGCGUGGACUAC
Molecule: unclassified non-coding RNA, 360 nt
Filed under: uncultured Chloroflexota bacterium
Lineage: Bacteria; Bacillati; Chloroflexota
Description: uncultured Chloroflexi bacterium contains 16S-23S intergenic spacer region
Source: RNAcentral